Molecule: ribosomal RNA, 949 nt
Filed under: Parasitodiplogaster maxinema
Lineage: Eukaryota; Metazoa; Nematoda; Chromadorea; Rhabditida; Diplogasteridae
Description: eukaryotic LSU rRNA
Rfam family: Eukaryotic large subunit ribosomal RNA
Source: RNAcentral
CUCGAAUGCUUGUAGGUCUUUCGUUGGAUAUGUGUUCUAAUCUGGAAGGUCUAAUAAGGCCCUUUACGAGUAUCGGUGUCGCUGCAUGCCGUACACCUCGGGAGUCGAGCUGGCUUGAGAUCGCAGCUCCAAGUGGGUGGUAUACCCCAUCUACGGCUUUAUAGGGGUUACGAGACCGAUAGCAACCAAGUACCCCGAGGGAAAGUUGAAAAGAACUUUGAAGAGAGAGUUAAACAGGACGUGAAACCACUAGGGACGAAGCGGAUGAAGCCGACGAAACUCAGCGGUAUUCAGGUGUGCGCGGCCGUGCGGCGGUGCUUGCUCGCGGCCGGUGUUGUCGUGGCGGAGUCGUUGUGCGCGGUUGUGUGCUCUGCAAUUGCUGCGGGUAUGCGUUGAGAGGCCUGCGCGCCUCCUCCUAACCGUUGUGUGUUGCCCUUGCUUGCAAGGUGUCUUGCGCGGCGGGGCUGUCGAUGGCGCGUAGGUUGUUGCCUUCAGCGGCUGACGAUUGCGCGGUGCGCGUCGCGGCAUGCGUUGUGCGUGAGCAGUGGCGUGCCACUCGUUUGCGUCUUCAGCGUGCGUUGUGUGCGCGCGUCGCUACAGCUCGCUGUCUCGGCGUUAAAGUUGGUCACUCAUCCGACCCGUCUUGAAACACGGACCAAGAAGUCUAGCAUGUGCGCGAGUCAUUGGGCGUAAAAACCUAAAGGCGAAAUGAAAGUAAAGGCCGCCUUGGUGCGGCUGAUAUGGGAGUCGUGUUCGUGCGCGUUCGCGAUGCACCAUAGCCCCAUCCCGUGAGCUUGCUCUGGGGUGGAGGAAGAGCGUACAUGCUGGGACCCGAAAGAUGGUGAACUAUGCCUGAGCAGGAUGAAGUCAGAGGAAACUCUGAUGGAAGUCCGAAGCGGUUCUGACGUGCAAAUCGAUCGUCUGACUUGGGUAUAGGGGCGAAAGACUA